This is a long non-coding RNA of Gordionus sp. m RMFG-2023, 572 nucleotides long. RefSeq lists it as uncharacterized. The record is from RefSeq and is a predicted model, not a curated record. The transcript is spliced from 3 exons. Lineage: Eukaryota; Metazoa; Nematomorpha; Gordioida; Chordodea; Parachordodidae.
UAAACAUCAUUCAAUUUUUUUGGUAAUUCAAUUUUUUUGGUAAUUCAAUUUUUUUUUGUCCAAAUGAAAACGUAUAAGUUGGUGGUUUUUGGAAUUUUAGUGCUUACUUUGGGGAUUAAUACUCAGAAACAGGUAUUGGAUGGUAUAUCUGAAAAUUCUGAUACUUGUAUUUUGGAUCUAGGUAAUGAGACAUAUACAUUUUCUCCGGGAGAAAUAAUUACACCUAAAACUCAAUGUAUGGGAUGCACAUGUCAAAAUGUUGGCAAUGAUUCUCAAUAUAGUUGCUUAGGAUGCAAUGAAACCGAAAAAUUGCCCCUAUAUUCUGGAUGCACACCAGUUGGAUUUAAAGGUGAGCCUCAUCCUGAUUGUUGUCCAGCUAAUAUUUGUUCUUAAUAAUUUUAACGAUGUAAUGUAAAAUUUAUAUUUUAAAAAUAUAUUUUAAUAUAUAUAUAUAAUAUUUGAUUUUGUAUGAAGAAAAUUAUUCCAUAUUUAUUUGUCAAUUAAUUUUUUUUUAAAAUUAUGCAACGUAUCAUUGUAAUCUCAAUAAAAUUUUUAGUUUUGAUUAGAUUUCA